This 1480-nucleotide ribosomal RNA is filed under the name metagenome. RNAcentral describes it as "bacterial SSU rRNA". It matches the Rfam family "Bacterial small subunit ribosomal RNA". The record is from RNAcentral.
AGAGUUUGAUCCUGGCUCAGGAUGAACGCUGGCGGCGUGCUUAACACAUGCAAGUCGAGCGAAGCGAUUUAAAUGAGACUUCGGUGGAUUUUAAAUUGACUGAGCGGCGGACGGGUGAGUAACGCGUGGAUAACCUGCCUCACACAGGGGGAUAACAGUUAGAAAUGACUGCUAAUACCGCAUAAGCGCACGGUACCGCAUGGUACAGUGUGAAAAACUCCGGUGGUGUGAGAUGGAUCCGCGUCUGAUUAGGUAGUUGGUGAGGUAACGGCCCACCAAGCCGACGAUCAGUAGCCGACCUGAGAGGGUGACCGGCCACAUUGGGACUGAGACACGGCCCAAACUCCUACGGGAGGCAGCAGUGGGGAAUAUUGCACAAUGGGGGAAACCCUGAUGCAGCGACGCCGCGUGGAGGAAGAAGGUCUUCGGAUUGUAAACUCCUGUUGUUGAGGAAGAUAAUGACGGUACUCAACAAGGAAGUGACGGCUAACUACGUGCCAGCAGCCGCGGUAAAACGUAGGUCACAAGCGUUGUCCGGAAUUACUGGGUGUAAAGGGAGCGCAGGCGGGCGAUCAAGUUGGAAGUGAAAUCCAUGGGCUCAACCCAUGAACUGCUUUCAAAACUGAUUGUCUUGAGUAGUGCAGAGGUAGGCGGAAUUCCCGGUGUAGCGGUGGAAUGCGUAGAUAUCGGGAGGAACACCAGUGGCGAAGGCGGCCUACUGGGCACCAACUGACGCUGAGGCUCGAAAGUGUGGGUAGCAAACAGGAUUAGAUACCCUGGUAGUCCACACCGUAAACGAUGAUUACUAGGUGUUGGAGGAUUGACCCCUUCAGUGCCGCAGUUAACACAAUAAGUAAUCCACCUGGGGAGUACGACCGCAAGGUUGAAACUCAAAGGAAUUGACGGGGGCCCGCACAAGCAGUGGAGUAUGUGGUUUAAUUCGACGCAACGCGAAGAACCUUACCAAGUCUUGACAUCCUGCGGCGAUGCUAGAAAUAGUAUUUUCCUUCGGGACGCAGAGACAGGUGGUGCAUGGUUGUCGUCAGCUCGUGUCGUGAGAUGUUGGGUUAAGUCCCGCAACGAGCGCAACCCUUAUGGUCAGUUACUACGCAAGAGGACUCUGGCCAGACUGCCGUUGACAAAACGGAGGAAGGUGGGGAUGACGUCAAAUCAUCAUGCCCUUUAUGACUUGGGCUACACACGUACUACAAUGGCGUUAAACAAAGAGAAGCAAGACCGCGAGGUGGAGCAAAACUCAGAAACAACGUCCCAGUUCGGACUGCAGGCUGCAACUCGCCUGCACGAAGUCGGAAUUGCUAGUAAUCGCAGAUCAGCAUGCUGCGGUGAAUACGUUCCCGGGCCUUGUACACACCGCCCGUCACACCAUGAGAGCCGGGGGGACCCGAAGUCGGUAGUCUAACCGCAAGGAGGACGCCGCCGAAGGUAAAACUGGUGAUUGGGGUGAAGUCGUAACAAGGUA